RNAcentral lists this long non-coding RNA (2307 nucleotides) under Sus scrofa (pig). RNAcentral describes it as "lncRNA (ENSSSCG00050051824.1)". Lineage: Eukaryota; Metazoa; Chordata; Mammalia; Artiodactyla; Suidae. The record is from RNAcentral.
CCCAAGAAGAAACUCUUUUAUCUUAAAAGCCAGUUCACAUACUAGUUGCUUAGUUCUUGAAACAAUUAAUUCAAUUUCUUUAGAGGGAAGUCUCCAGUUACUUUGCCUGGGGAAAAAAAACUCCUGACUGAUGGCCAUUAUGUAUCUGGGAAGAGAAUGGGGCCAACUAUUUCAUGUAGACAUCUUCAUUUAACCUCUGUUUUCUAUGUCACAACUCAUUCUCAGUUCUCCCUGGCUUUUCUAGUAUCUUGAUAUAGGGUCUCGCCUCAGCCCUGGCUCCUUCAUCUCACACUCUAAGCUAUAGCUUCAUCCAACUCAUUUAAUCAUUCAUAACUCCUCAGUCUUCUUCCGUGCAUCAAUAAAAUACUGGACUAUCUCAGUUGCCAAAAACUACCCUUCCUUCCCAUCUAAUCUUCUAUUUGUUGUGGGACUAUAUCUUUUAUCCAGUGUUAUAAAUUUAAUUGGAGUCUCAGAUUGAUGAAAUGAACAUGUGUCAGGCUACUAUCUUAAAGGGAACAUCAUUGGCCUAUGAUCAAAAUGGUUUGAUAUAAAGACCUCUCCUUUCAUUUUUACUAGAGCUUUUAACUUCUGGUAUCUAUUUAAUUUCAAAGCACUUUUUCUGAUGAUAUUCUUAUGAUCUUUUGAUACCAAGAUGUAGCUUCUAAAUCCCAAGUUUGGUUAAUUUAUCUAGGUCCUUUAUCACCAAAUUGAUGUUUGUAAAUGUUCUGUGGGCUCAGACUAUCUAUUAUGUUUGUAAAUUAAAACUUAUUCAUUUUUCUUUUUAUUUUUUAGGUGUUUUUUUCUAUUAUAGUUUAUUUACAUUGUUUUGUCAGUUUCUGCUGUACAGAAAAGUGACCCAGUCAUGUAUAUAUAUGUAUAUGUACAUUUAUAUAUAUAUGUAUACACACACACACAUAUAUAAAUGUACAUAUAUGUACUCCUGUGUACAUUACCCCUCUAUACAGUGGUGACCUGGAGCUGAUGUAGACUGAUGUGUCUCUUCCCAUUUCUGUAUUCAGGGACAUCACUUUGAUAGCUUGAAAUUGACCUACCAGGGAUGGAGUAUUUAUACUGUGAAAAUUAGCAAGCACUACAAAGCAAGGCUUUGUUUUUUGUUUAUUAUGUUUCCAUAGACUCAGUUGUUAAUCAUUUCCAAUAUACCACUGCAUAUCCACUUCCAAAAUUUGUGGGGUUUGCUAGACUGCUUCAAAAUUUUACUUGAGAGCUAGUAUUCUCCCUUUUAGCAUUUAUUUCAUUUCAAAACUCUCUCAUAUAGCAAGCAUUGCUUUAAUAAUUUUUGUCAUUAUAAUUUUCUUUGUGGAAAUUCAUAAUUUUUUUAAUCUAGGGAAUUUAUAAACUUAACCAAGGUAUAACUAGGUAUGUAAUUUUUUCCCCAUUAAUCACAUCUGAAUCUUGGUAACAAUUAUUAAUCUAAAAACUUGUCUUUAUCCAAAGAAAUUUUCUUCUUUUUUAAAAAAAUCAUUUCCCCAUGAAUUUCUUUCUUCUCAGGGCUCUUACUUUUUAGCAUUGUUAAGUUUCUUACCUCCAAAUCUCAUGUCUUUUCCCUCAUACCCUUGGGAUUUUGUUCUUUUGUGCCAUUUGUUCUGCAAAGUCUUCCAAGCCACUGUUUAUGUUCUCAGCAACACCUGUCUUCUUUUAAUUGAGAUUGAAGUUUAGCUCCAGAAAGUCUUAUAUAUUCUGGUUGUAUCUCCUUGAGGAACUUCAGUAUUUUGAGUUCUUUCCCACUCUUUCUUUAAGUUCUAUGGCAAUAGAGCUCCCCACCCCACCCCUUUCGUGGGUCUCUGAUCUCCUUAAAGGAAUUAUUAUUCAUUUGUAUCUUCAUGAUUUAUUUACCUUCAGCACCAAUUCAGGCAGGACUUUGAGGUUCCUGUGACUAUUAAUGGUGGCCAUGAAAACUUCUGCUUAUGCCAGUUGAUAAGCAUUGAGCUGACAGUUGCAACACUGAGACAGGAAGGAAGACUUUCUGGGAAUAAAGAGCAGUCCUCUCCCCCUGAGGGACUGGAAACAGUUCAGCUACCAAAGUAUUUCACCUCCAGGCUGUGAGGUCUGAUAAUCUUCCCCAAGCAUAAGUGCCUUAUGCAAACAGGUCUCUGCUUAUCUGGCUCCCCCCAAAGGCAGGAAGUUUGGAGUUUUCACCCCACAACCCCCUCCACUCUUCCUUAAUGCCACAGGGAACAGAGACCUUGACUCUUAGGUUGGCACACCCUCUCCUGAUUCUGCCAGCAGACUCAAUUGUUCAUUGGGUUUUCCAAGGGAGAAUUUAGAGUAAUGAGUCAGGGAUAUGUU